RNAcentral lists this ribosomal RNA (1344 nucleotides) under Triticum aestivum (bread wheat). RNAcentral describes it as "partial small subunit ribosomal RNA". Lineage: Eukaryota; Viridiplantae; Streptophyta; Magnoliopsida; Poales; Poaceae. The record is from RNAcentral.
AUGGUGGCUAUGGGUAUGGGUUCCACAAAGCGUGGCGUUGUGUGGUGCGCCGGCCUGCUCGUCACCGGGCUUCUCCUCGUGGCGGCGGAGGCAGAUUUCUGCUCCGAGGACUGCCGUGGCAAGACCGAUUUCUUGGGCCGCGCCCGUCGGUGCAGAUCUCAGCUUGAGGUUGCACGGCCGACGAACUGCGUCGCCCUCUGCCAUGGCAAGCCGAACUUCAUGGCCUGCUGCAAUCGCCAUCGGUAUGCCCGACGAGUGACUCCGCAUCUGCAGCGUCGGGCCGGCAGGGAAUCCACAACGCAUGAAGAAGAAGCAAGAGGAGGAGCAGUUGGUGUCCUGAAGGCGCCGGCCCCGGCGCCGUGUGAGGUGGUCUGCCGUGACCGGGUGGGCUGGGUGGAGUACGAGCGCUGCCUCGAUCGCUGCCGAUGGGGAGCGUUUGUCCGACGAGCGCUUCUUCAUCUUAAGCUUGCCGGCAGGCAAUCGGCGACACAUGAAGAAGCAAGAGGAGGAGGAAGAGGGGAAGCUCACAUCCUGACGGCGAUGGCGGCGCGGCUCUCGGAUCCAUGCCAGGACAUGUGCCAUAACCACAAGCACUAUGACUGGUGCGUCCGUCGCUGCCGGUUUGGGCCGCAUCUUAGGCUUGCCGGUGGCGGUGGGGAAUCAGAAGAAGCAAGCGGAGGAGGAGUUGAUGUACUGACGGCGACGGCAGCGGGGGCGGCGGCUGACCCACGUAUAUGCGAGGAUUUCUGCCGUAACUGGCCGGCGCCGGAACACGAUUGGUGCCUCGACUUCUGCCUGGCUGGAGACUAUGUACAACGAGCGCCUCUGCAUCUUAAGCUUGCCGGCGGUGAGUCAACGACAGAAGAAGAAGAAGGAGAAGGAAGCGGAGGAGCGGUUGAUGUCCCUCAGGCAGCGGCGGCGGCGGCGGCAGCGCAGGUGCAGCAUGAGGCUGUCGCAGGAACACAGCCGAUGAAAAAUACGGACCCGUGCGAUGACUACUGCAUGGAGCAAACUCGCUACUUUCCCAGGCCCGGGCAGUUCUUCGAUUGCGUCGAGGAGUGCCACGCUGGUCAUGGUCGGCUCGCCGGCGACGGCAGGAAUGUGAUCCCGGCGGCGGCGGCGCAACAUGAGGCUGCUGCAGGAGCGCAGCCGGCGAAUACCGACCCGUGCGAGGCCUACUGCAAAUGGCAUGCUCGGGAUUUCCCCGCCAAGUACACAGCCUGCGUGCGCCAGUGCCAGUCCGGUGGCCACCCCGGCGACGGCGCCCGUGUCAAGCAGGAACGCCACAAGAAGGUCGGCGAGGUCCAUCUUGGCCGUGGCACCGGCAAGAUAGCCAUCCAAUAG